This 497-nucleotide ribosomal RNA is filed under the name uncultured bacterium. RNAcentral's name for it is "partial 16S ribosomal RNA". It matches the Rfam family "Bacterial small subunit ribosomal RNA", at positions 28 to 507 of the family's 1533-position model. The record is from RNAcentral.
GAUGAACGCUGGCGGCGUGCCUAAUACAUGCAAGUCGAGCGGAAGGACGAGCAUUUUGUUUUUGUGAUGGUAUCCGCGGACGGGUAAGUGGCGCGUAGAUAGCCUAUCUAUAAGACUGGACUAAGUUCGAGAAACGGGAGCUAGGACCGGAUAAUAUUUUGAACCGCAUGGUUCAACAGUGAAAGGCAGACUUGCUUUCACUUAUAGAGGGAUCCGCGCUGCAUUAGCUACUUGGUAAGGUAACGGCUAACCAAGGCAACGAUGCAUAGCCGACCUGAGAGGGAGAGCGGGCACACUGGAACUGAGACACGGUCCAGACUCCGACGGGAAGCAGCAGUAGGAGUGCUGCCGCAAGGGGCGAAAGCCUGACGGAGCAGCGCCGCGUGAGUGAUGAAGGUCUUCGGAUUGUAAAUCUCUGUUAUUAGGGAAGAACAUAAGUGUAAGUAACUGGGCACAUCUUGACGGUACCUAAACAGAAAGCCACGGCUAACUACGUG